This is a long non-coding RNA of Amphiprion ocellaris (clown anemonefish), 2559 nucleotides long. NCBI's taxonomy places the organism in Eukaryota, Metazoa, Chordata, Actinopteri, Pomacentridae. The record is from Ensembl.
CCACUACGACCGGUCCUACGAGAAACCAGUGCUUGCAAAAGGUUCCAAGGUACGUAUUGAAUAUGCACAAGCCAGCAUUGGGGGAAUGGAUACACCAUCUCACUGCAGUCUGAAUGAAAGUGGUAUGUUGUGAAAUUGCGACAGUAGGUCGAGUAUGUGUAUAGAGGCCAACAUCAAAACCGCUGACAUUGAUUGUCUCAUGACAAUGGCUCCUGUUAGUCGAAGGAAUAUGUUCGGUAGAAACUGAACAGUUAGCUUGAGAAUCUGAAAGAGUUUGAUAAGGGUCAGUUUGAGAGAACCAGAUGAAAACGUCAGAGCUUCUCCUAAACAGCAGGUCUUGUGCGAUGUUCCUGGGUUGCAUUGGUCAGUACCUACCAAAGAUGUCCACGAGAGGACAACCACUGAUGCAGUUACAGAGUUCCAGACACACAAGCUUCACACUGCUGCAUGUGUGGAGUGAAGGCUGGUAUGUGUGGUCGGAUUGUCCCAGAACAAACUGCUACUGUAGAAAAGCUUUACAACACACAAAGCAGCACAGCUUAGUGUGUAAUAGGAUGCAGAGCUGCAGAUCGGAUGGAGUGGCCACAACUAAGCUCCUCAAGAGCAGAAUCCGAACUGGAUCCUGGAGUAACGUGACCUGUUCUAAUGAACCAUGUUUUCUGUCGCAUCAUGUGGACAGUUGGGUCUGUUUGCAUCAUUUCCUGGAGAAGAAAUGGCAGCAGAAUGGGAAGAAGUCGAGCUGGAGGAGGCAGCGUCAGUAAUAUUCUUCUUGGAAACUUUGGUCCUGCAUUCAUGUAGCAGUUUCCUAAACGCUGCUGCAGACCUUCAUGAUGAAACAUGUGAAAGAGUUCAAGGUGUUGACUUGGCAUCCAAUUUCAAAUUCUAAAUGUAAGAAAAGACUCCAAGACCAUAUGUGAAGCUACACUAUGCUACACUAUGUAUUCAGUCACUUUCAAAAGUACCAAUGAAUGCAGGACGGUAUAGUGAAAUACUGGAGGACAACCUGAUGCAGUCUCUAAGAGAACUGCAACUUGGUAGAAGAUUUAGCCAAAGCUACAAAGAGAAUGUGUAAAGAUAACAAGGUGAAUGUUGUCAAGUCAGAGCCCAGAACUCAGUCCAACUGAAAAUUUGUGGCUGGACUUGACUCGGGCUCUGGGGUUAAUUAAAUCAGCAUCUGAGGGACGUGCUGGAAAAACCACAGGACAGGACCUACACCAUAGCACGCAGAUGGUUCUAAUGUUGAUUCUUCAAACUUAAAGAUAAAAACCAGGCAGGCUGUCAUAGCAGAGGACAAAACCUCAUCCACUCCCCAGCUUUAUUCUUUAGGAAACCCAUCAGUUGUGACUCACUACUAUUCAGUCUGUAAAAAUGUUCAAAGCUGCCAAAUCUCACCCACCUCACAGACUCGAAAAUAUUGUAUCCAUGUACAGUUCAAACAGCCUGUUUCUAGGAUUAACCAGAAAAACAACAUGGUAAAGAUGCUACAGAACAGUUCUGCCAUCACUCAGAAUGUGGUUUUAUUACAUCUGUUGGCAGCAGCAGCAGUUAAAUCAACAGUGUGCUCAUGUCCUGUAGUAUAGACGCCUUCAUGACUGCACAGCUGACACAACAAAUGCUGUUCUUAGAUCUGUGACUCUGUCUGCAUCAAAUAUCCUCAGUUUUUAUUUCCCUUGCUGUCGUUAUUUUCUCCUGUAGAUCUCCAGAUUGUGUGAUGAGGAGGCGGCGGCUCAGGAGCAGACCGGUCAGGUGUUGGAGUGUCUGAAAAACAACCUGCUGGAAAUCAAACGAGAGGGCUGUAUAAUGGAAGUCGUGAACAUGCUGAAGCAGAGUAAGGCGGACAUCUUUGUGGACCCGGUCCUCUCCACAUCCUGCGCUCUGGACAUCAAACACCACUGUAACGACAUCCCACCUUUCGGAGGACGACAGAUGUCGUGUCUGAUGGAGGCGUUACAGGAAGGGAGCGUUAGCCUGCAGCCUGAGUGUCAGAAAAGACUUCAAGAUCGAAUUGACAUGUGGAGCUACGCUGCGACGCGUACAGGUGUGGAGCCGCUCUGCUGUCCGACGGACCAGUUCUGGACACAUGAGGAUAGGAUCCCGUCUGAAACCACCAGAUCUACUAUUAGGUGGAUCAUUUUUAUCGCGCAGUCGACCCUUGAUUGGUUUCCACGUCUCCUCCCUUACAUUUAGCUCAACAACUGUGUGUUUCGGUUGUUUAUAUAGAUUUUUAGAUUCAACACUGAUUCAGAUAUGAACACUAAACUGUUGGGAGCAUCUCAGUCACCUAAAAUAAGUCUCAAUCUUUAGUCUAAAGAUGUCAGGUUUUGGGUUUUUCAUGUUUAAGUUUGUGGUUUGUUUUUGAGGGAGCCUCCUCUACCCUGCUGAUCGGAGCAUCGCUACAGCUAACCCAUGUAGACGUUCAAAUCAUGAAGAGAGAUAUUAGAAAAAUGAAUGCUAACUGCACCGCUCCUUUGAUUCUUUGUUUUUCUUUCCAACUUUGUAACACGUACAGUUCAUAAAGUGGAAAGCAGCAAUAAAGAGCUUUCUGCAGCUGGAAGUUUC